This 1947-nucleotide long non-coding RNA is filed under the name Podarcis lilfordi (Lilford's wall lizard). Lineage: Eukaryota; Metazoa; Chordata; Lepidosauria; Squamata; Lacertidae. The record is from RNAcentral.
UCCAAGGCUAACAUAGCAUCCUGCCCCAUUCUGGGAUACCGUUGCUGGUUUACCUCCCUGGAACACCCAUGAAACCACCAGCGAGCUGUUGCAUUCUUCUUACUUAUCGAAGGAGAAGCCACCGCCAUUCCCUCCAGGUGUGUUGGACUACGGUGUCUGCAGAGGCACACACGACAGGCACGGAUCCUGAGUUGCAGUGGCGGGCAGGUUGGUCUAGUGGGCAGGUGGAUGGAGGCAGCGGGUGAGGAGCCUGUUGGAGGUGGGCUCCGUUCACCCUCCGUGCGGGCCCCCUGGUGCAAAACCCCACCCCAGCUGCCCAGUCCAUCUGGAGGACACAAAAACUUGCCCUGCCCCGGGCACCGGCAACCCAAGCUACGCCACUGAGCAUCCUUUAGUUAUGUAUUCCAUUGUUAGCCUGCCUUUACUCCAAGGAGUUCAAGGUGGUGUGUGUGGCUUCUCGCCUCCUUCCCAUUUUAUCCUCACAACAACCCUGUGAGGUUGAUCUAGGAGGCAGGGACUGGCCCAAGAUCACAGGUGAGUUUCUUUUCUUUUCUUUAAAAUAGGUUUUUUUAAUUUCUGAUAUAUAACCAUUACACACACACACACAAAAAGAGUUACAGAAACAAAAUCUCAACUCGCUCUCCUCCAAGAUGGAUCCAUCCAAUUAAGUCCAAUCUGUGAUUUUGGUAGCUGCCAUUCUUCAGGGUUAUAAGCAAAGUGUUUUUUUCCCUUAAGGAUGCCAUAUCUCAACAAAAUCGUCUACAUCAUUUGUCUCAUUCAAUGCAUGUAAUCUCUUUGUUAAUUGUUCUGACGCAGCAAUAGACCAUACAUUCUGUUUCCAACGAGAGAUACGCAGAUGUUCCAAUCCUUUCUGAUUCUGUGCCACUGGUAGGCGUGCCGCUGCUAAAAGAAAAUGAAUUAUCUCUUUAUAACAAAGGUCAGGUUGCCCUUCUUUAAAACUAGUUAACAAUCCCAAAUGGGGUACAUUCCACAGGCUGGCCUGCAACAUAGGUUAUUUCUGCAAAUACCAUCUGCCAGAAGGACUUUAGAGGUUCACACAACCUGGUGAGUUUUGUGUUUGACUGGGGAUUUGAACCCUGAACACCCCAGUCCCUAGUCUAGGCAUCAUCCUGUGUCCAUUCCUUCAGCUCUGCAGUCCCAGGGUAAGAGCUGGUUUCAGGUGAUGUGGGUGUGCUCAUCACUCGCAAAAGCUCACCUGUUGUGAUGCUCAAAGUGUGAGCGCGGAAAUCAGACAAACGACUUGCUAAGUCUGUUUCAUGGUUUCUAUCCACCUGAGGACCCACUGCUGCAAACCCUGUGGCCUGUCUUUGUUUUAUUACCCAACAGUUUGCAAUUCAGAGACUAGUUUUGCCGCUGCAGGCAAUGUUUCCUUCCUUGCAAUCUGUGGGCGCACCUGGGUUAUCCAUGACCGCAAAACAAAUGUGUUUAUACCUGCGUGUGUAUGCGUGUGUUGCGAGUCUAAUAUCUCAUCUUAAAAUAGCAGCGAUUAAAGCGGAGAGGAGUAGGAGGCAAGCUGCGACGUCUCUCUGCUGGGGAAAAGGCAGAGGAGUUGCGAAGUCUCUGGGCUUCUGAAAGACAAAAAUUGUCACUACCAGCAAAAGGUUUCAACGUCUCCGUCUCUGCUCAGCACGGAGUCCAGUUUAGCUUCUUCUAAGACACGGUGGCCAAAACAAACAAACAAACAUUAUAAUAUCAAUGCCAGAUAAUACACACAUUAUGACAGUCCGUAAUUAAGUCAGAGCAUUCUAACCCUUUGGAUUUUGUUUUUAAAAAGGCAGUGAGGGAUGCCAUUUUGUAAAAGGGAAAAGUGCAGCUAAAGCUAGAAGAUUGGCAAUGGGAAAGACUUCAACACAGGAAGGCUUUUAAAGUGAGAAUGGCAGGUGGAAACUUAGAAGAGGAUCCAGGAAAGAAGAAAAUGGAGCAAGG